Molecule: small RNA, 254 nt
Filed under: Jaculus jaculus (lesser Egyptian jerboa)
Lineage: Eukaryota; Metazoa; Chordata; Mammalia; Rodentia; Dipodidae
Description: 7SK RNA (ENSJJAG00000004356.1)
Rfam family: 7SK RNA
About the family: 7SK was discovered as an abundant small nuclear RNA in the mid-70s but a possible function has only recently been suggested. Two independent studies have found that 7SK RNA binds the CDK9/cyclin T complex (known as elongation factor P-TEFb).
Source: RNAcentral
GGAUGUGAGGGCAAUCUGACUGCAACAUCUGUCACCCCAUUGAUCAUCAGGGUUGAUUCAACUGACCUGACUGGAUAGGCAGGUGUCCCCUUCAUCCCUCACUGAUCCGUGUGCAUCCAUCUCGAAGCUGCACACCGAAGCUACACGCUCAGUUGCUCAGUUGAAAAGGACAAUCUUCCCUGAAUAGAGGAGGAGUGGUCUUUGGCCAAGGGUAUAUGAGUAUCUGUGCCCCCUUCUCAUACCAACUUUGUGUU